This 74-nucleotide transfer RNA is filed under the name Trichonephila clavata. It matches the Rfam family "tRNA". Rfam says of the family: Transfer RNA (tRNA) molecules are approximately 80 nucleotides in length. Their secondary structure includes four short double-helical elements and three loops (D, anti-codon, and T loops). Lineage: Eukaryota; Metazoa; Arthropoda; Arachnida; Araneae; Nephilidae. The record is from Rfam by way of RNAcentral.
GGCGCCGUGGCUUAGUUGGAUAAAGCACAUGUCUAGUAAACAGGAGAUCACGAGUUCGAAUUUCGUCGGUGCCU